UGAAGCGUUCGGACGCCGCCGCCGCCGCCGUUGAAACCUGUGGUCGCUCACUGACAUGAGGAACCGUGAGAACUGCGACACCACUGCCUGAUUGAAAGACGGAUGCUGAGUGCUUUUUCUACAAAUUUAUAAUCUUCAGCAGUGAGUGGAGUCUGAGUGGAGGCCAGACGCACACUGGCUCGUUUGGCCAUUAACUCUUGCCAGGAUGUGCAGAUGCUGUCGGUUGGUGUUGUGUAUGAGACAAGACAUCUUCAGCUCUAUCAGCUAAAUGGUCAUCAAGUGGCUAUGGGAGGUGUGCAGAAACACUGAAUAUGCUGUUGCUGCAGUAAAGACCUCAAGCUGCUCCACUCUCCAGACUCACCCCUUAAUGAGCUCACGCAGGCAUUUGUCAACAGCACCACUUCUCACCAGCAGCAACUUGGGCUCCAUCCAGAGAGCCAAUGACCUUAAGGAAGCUCGGAAACCCUGGUGAGAGAAUUAGGGCCAACGUGUCUUUCCUCUAACACGGGCUGUUUCAUCUCUGGUUCCUUUCUUAUUGAAACCCAAAGACCAAAGAACAAAAUCACAGAUGAUGUUUUGCCUCAAGGCUCUUGCUUGAAUUUAAUUUUGCAGGUUUCUUUUGCUUUGUGACUUCUGCCUCACUCUGAGUCCAGAGCAGAACCCUUAACAGCCGACAAAGAGCUCUGAUGUUAAAAAAGAAAUGGAGACAGUAUCACACACAUUCACACCAUAGAGGUUCUAAAAAAGAGUGUCACUAACCAUUAGUUAAAUGUCAUUGUGUUUGACUUGUUUGGUGCUAUUAUUAACCAGGGUGUGACUCGUUCCAACCUCCAUCACUCUCCUGCACAAUGAAACACCUGAUGGAAAAUGAUGAUGCGUAGAUUUUACAUAUGUCUUGGAGACGUCCCUGUCAUGGAGGUUGUGCAGCGAAGCCGCUAGUU
RNAcentral lists this long non-coding RNA (941 nucleotides) under Betta splendens (Siamese fighting fish). RNAcentral describes it as "lncRNA (ENSBSLG00000010971.1)". Lineage: Eukaryota; Metazoa; Chordata; Actinopteri; Anabantiformes; Osphronemidae. The record is from RNAcentral.